GAUGCUGCAUCAAAAAGGGCAGAGGAAAACAAAGCGCAAAGAGAGACGGACUGACAGACAGACACCGCUUCCUUCCACCUCCCCUGUCUUCUUCCCUCUCCACCUCGCCCCCCCUUCCAAAGCGCAUUUCUUUCCCUCUCGGCUCUCGCUUGCGUGCGUCUCCAUUAACUCCUCGCUCGCCAUUACCCGCCUCACGCCCCCAGCAAUGCCGCCGUGGAGCGUGCGCGCGCGCGCGGUGCUAGCCUGCUAGAUCCACCGCCGGGCGGAGGAAAGCCUGGUGAGGAGGGUGAGCUUGAAGGACGGCGGCGGCGGCGGGACGAGGAGGGAGAAGCGACGGGUGUGGUGGCAGGGAGAGGCGGGAGCGCCCAAUGCACGAGCACACCCUGGCCAGGGUGUG
RNAcentral lists this long non-coding RNA (397 nucleotides) under Hordeum vulgare. RNAcentral's name for it is "long non-coding RNA (HVUL_LNC002996)". The record is from RNAcentral. Lineage: Eukaryota; Viridiplantae; Streptophyta; Magnoliopsida; Poales; Poaceae.